Molecule: ribosomal RNA, 253 nt
Filed under: uncultured bacterium
Lineage: Bacteria
Description: partial 16S ribosomal RNA
Rfam family: Bacterial small subunit ribosomal RNA
Source: RNAcentral
UACGUAGGGCGCAAGCGUUGUCCGGAAUUAUUGGGCGUAAAGAGCUCGUAGGCGGCCUGUCGCGUCCGCUGUGAAAUCCCGGGGCUUAACCCCGGGCGUGCAGUGGAUACGGGCUGGCUGGAGGCAGGCAGGGGAGAACGGAAUUCCCGGUGUAGCGGUGAAAUGCGCAGAUAUCGGGAGGAACACCGGUGGCGAAGGCGGCUACCUGGACCGGUUCUGACGCUGAGGCGCGAAAGCGUGGGUAGCAAACAGG